This 112-nucleotide ribosomal RNA is filed under the name Periophthalmus magnuspinnatus. Lineage: Eukaryota; Metazoa; Chordata; Actinopteri; Gobiiformes; Gobiidae. The record is from RNAcentral.
UAUGGCCAAAUACCCUUGUUAAAGCUUGAUCUCAUCAGGUCUCAGAAGCUAAGCAAGGCUGGGCCUGGUUAGUAUUUGGAGACUGCUAAGAACUACUAAGAGACUGCUAAGC